RNAcentral lists this transfer RNA (73 nucleotides) under Modestobacter muralis. Its description in RNAcentral is "tRNA-His". It matches the Rfam family "tRNA". From Rfam's summary of the family: Transfer RNA (tRNA) molecules are approximately 80 nucleotides in length. Their secondary structure includes four short double-helical elements and three loops (D, anti-codon, and T loops). RNAcentral also lists the same sequence under 1 other name. Lineage: Bacteria; Bacillati; Actinomycetota; Actinomycetes; Geodermatophilales; Geodermatophilaceae. The record is from RNAcentral.
GUGGGUGUAGCUCAGUUGGUAGAGCGCCAGGUUGUGAUCCUGGAUGUCGCGGGUUCAAGUCCCGUCACUCACC